Molecule: ribosomal RNA, 405 nt
Filed under: uncultured bacterium
Lineage: Bacteria
Description: partial 16S ribosomal RNA
Rfam family: Bacterial small subunit ribosomal RNA
Source: RNAcentral
GAUGAACGCUGGCGGCGUGCCUAAUACAUGCAAGUCGAGCGAAGCGGGGACGGGUGAGUAACACGUGGAUAAACUCCUAUAAGACUGGGAUAACUUAGGGAAACCGGAGCCAAACCGGAUAAUUAUAGCUGGAGCGGCGCGGCAUUAGCUAGUUGGAAGGGUAACGGCUUACCUAGGCAACGAUGCAUAGCCGACCUGAGAGGGUGACCAGCCACACUGGAACUGAGACACGGUCCAGACUCCUACGGGAGGCAGCAGUAGGGAAUCUUCCGCAAUGGGCGAAAGCCUGACGCAGCAACGCCGCGUGAGUGAUGAAGGUCUUCGGAUCGUAAAACUCUGUUAGUAGGGAAGCGGUACUUAAUCAGAAAGCCACGGCUAACUCCGUGCCAGCAGCCGCGGUAAUUC